Long non-coding RNA from Pseudoliparis swirei, 375 nucleotides. RefSeq lists it as uncharacterized. The record is from RefSeq and is a predicted model, not a curated record. The transcript has 4 exons. NCBI's taxonomy places the organism in Eukaryota, Metazoa, Chordata, Actinopteri, Perciformes, Liparidae.
GCACUCUUUCUUCGUCACAUCCUUUUUCCGUUGCUCCUCUCGCUUUGGAAACUUCUCCUCACGAUGAGAGCGAAGUGGAGGAAGAAGCGUAUGCGCAGACUGAAGCGUAAAAGGAGGAAGAUGAGGCAGAGGUCUAAGUAAGCCCUCAUCCCUGCAGCUGUGAUCCUGUCUGAGCCUCUCCAGUUGACUGACUCCCUUCAUCAGUGGAAGAGACCUAAACCCUGAUUUUGAGAUGACUGCGCAUCUCAUGCAGACUGUGGAAGUCUGACUGGAAAAGGCAAAGGCGCAGGACUAAACAUAAGAACUACAGCGGCUUCUUCACGGAUCAUAAUGCAUAUUGUUUUAUGUAUUGAACAAUAAACACUUUAAAAUGUA